UUCGCAAUGCCCGAAAGGGUGACGAAGCGACGCCGCGUGCGGGAAGAAGGCCUUCGGGUUGUAAACCGCUGUCGGGAGUUAAGAAAUGUAAGGGUGUUAAUAGUAUCCUUACUUGACUAAGGCUCCGGAGGAAGCCACGGCUAACUCUGUGCCAGCAGCCGCGGUAAUACAGAGGCGGCAAGCGUUGUUCGGAAUUAUUGGGCGUAAAGAGCACGUAGGCGGCCGUGUAAGUCGGUUGUGAAAGCCUUCCGCUCAACGGAAGAACGGCAUCCGAUACUGCAUGGCUUGAGUGCGGGAGGGGAGAGUGGAACUUCUGGUGGAGCGGUGAAAUGCGUAGAUAUCAGAAGGAACACCGGCGGCGAAGGCGACUCUCUGGCCCGUAACUGACGCUGAGUGUGCGAAAGCUAGGGGAGCAAACGGGAUUAGAUACCCCGGUAGUCCUAGCCGUAAACGAUGGGCACUAAGUAGAGGGGUUUU
RNAcentral lists this ribosomal RNA (477 nucleotides) under uncultured anaerobic ammonium-oxidizing bacterium. RNAcentral's name for it is "bacterial SSU rRNA". It matches the Rfam family "Bacterial small subunit ribosomal RNA", at positions 365 to 832 of the family's 1533-position model. The record is from RNAcentral.